AUUGAACGCUGGCGGAAUGCUUUACACAUGCAAGUCGAGCGGCAGCGCGGGGCAACCUGGCGGCGAGCGGCGAACGGGUGAGUAAUGCAUCGGAACGUGCCCAGACGUGGGGGAUAGCCCGGCGAAGGCCGGAUUGAUACCGCAUACGAUCUACGGAUGAAAGCGGGGGCUCGCAAGACCUCGAGAAUUUGGAGCGGCCGAUGGCAGAUUAGGUAGCUGGUGGGGUAAAGGCUUACCAAGCCUACGAUCUGUAGCUGGUCUGAGAGGACGACCAGCCACACUGGGACUGAGACACGGCCCAGACUCCUACGGGAGGCAGCAGUGGGGAAUUUUGGACAAUGGGCGAAAGCCUGAUCCAGCCAUUCCGCGUGCAGGAUGAAGGCCCUCGGGUUGUAAACUGCUUUUGUACGGAACGAAAAGGUCCUGGUUAAUACCCGGGGCUCAUGACGGUACCGUAAGAAUAAGCACCGGCUAACUACGUGCCAGCCGCCGCGGUAA
Molecule: ribosomal RNA, 498 nt
Filed under: uncultured bacterium
Lineage: Bacteria
Description: partial 16S ribosomal RNA
Rfam family: Bacterial small subunit ribosomal RNA
Source: RNAcentral